RNAcentral lists this ribosomal RNA (349 nucleotides) under uncultured Comamonadaceae bacterium. RNAcentral describes it as "bacterial SSU rRNA". It matches the Rfam family "Bacterial small subunit ribosomal RNA", at positions 8 to 359 of the family's 1533-position model. The record is from RNAcentral. Lineage: Bacteria; Pseudomonadati; Pseudomonadota; Betaproteobacteria; Burkholderiales; Comamonadaceae.
AGAGUUUGAUCAUGGCUCAGAUUGAACGCUGGCGGAAUGCUUUACACAUGCAAGUCGAACGGCAGCACGGGGGCAACCCUGGUGGCGAGUGGCGAACGGGUGAGUAAUUCAUCGGAACGUGCCCAGUCGUGGGGGAUAACUACGCGAAAGCGUAGCUAAUACCGCAUACGAUCCACGGAUGAAAGCGGGGGACCGCAAGGCCUCGCGCGAUUGGAGCGGCCGAUGGCAGAUUAGGUAGUUGGUGGGGUAAAGGCCUACCAAGCCGACGAUCUGUAGCUGGUCUGAGAGGACGACCAGCCACACUGGGACUGAGACACGGCCCAGACUCCUACGGGAGGCAGCAGUGGGG